CUGAAUGGGAACUCUUGCUUCUGGCGGGCCUGCCUCCCACAAGGACACUUGAGGCCUUGCCUCUCUUAACCCUUGCUCUUGUUUCUGCAACCAGGGAGACACUUCUGGGGAUUAUCGGAAGAUCCUGCUGAAGAUCUGUGGUGGCAACGACUGAGCGGUGGCAGUGGCUCACCUGUGCCCCCUGCUGGCCCCCUGCUGGCAGUGGCCAGGAAACGUCCCGAAGAGCACACCAGUUUCCCCCAAUCUAUCUAGUACCCACAAGUGCACCCCCCAGCCAUCCACCCAUCCCCAAAGCCAUGACCUUUUCCUUCUGGUCCCCCCUCAUCCACGUAUUGUGCCGAAGGGCCCAGGUGGGCCAGGUUCUCAGGUGACCAUCUCCCUGGCCCUCACAGCCCCUUGCUGUGCAGAAUUGAUGUUUAUCUCUCCUGGUUCCUACACUCAUUCCUCGCUGCUUGUGGCUAAGACUCUUAGCUUUGUUAUAGACGUGUGAUUUUUGUAUUUUUAUUUGAAAACUUUUUUUAACCAUCGCUGCCAGACAGACGCAUACAAGCAUGCUUACUGUAUACAUGUUUCUGGAGAGAAUGGUAGGUGAGCGGGCCACCCGUCUUUGCCUAGGACAAAAGGGAGGUCUUGUAACGGUACUGUGGUGUCUGGUGAGAAUGUGUCAUGAGUUUUGUUUUUGCCAAACUCACACUCUUUUUUAGAAGAGGCCAGAAAAUCAUUUGUUCCACUUUCCAUGUAAAACCAUGCAAGAAUUAAAGCCAGGCCCCGUGCCAGUGGCAGGGAUCCUUGUAGUUUGGAAUGUGCCUUAAACCUGAAUGUCUGUAGCCAAAAGCUGUUUCCAAAUUAAAGUCAGCCAAUUCUGGAACAUUCUGGAAAUGUC
RNAcentral lists this long non-coding RNA (883 nucleotides) under Rattus norvegicus (Norway rat). Its description in RNAcentral is "long non-coding RNA NONRATT011720". The record is from RNAcentral. Lineage: Eukaryota; Metazoa; Chordata; Mammalia; Rodentia; Muridae.